GGGGAGUACGGCCGCAAGGCUAAAACUCAAAGGAAUUGACGGGGGCCCGCACAAGCGGCGGAGCAUGCGGAUUAAUUCGAUGCAACGCGAAGAACCUUACCAAGGCUUGACAUGUUCCUGACCGCCGUAGAGAUACGGUUUCCCCUUUGGGGCAGGUUCACAGGUGGUGCAUGGUUGUCGUCAGCUCGUGUCGUGAGAUGUUGGGUUAAGUCCCGCAACGAGCGCAACCCUCGUUCCAUGUUGCCAGCACGUAGUGGUGGGGACUCAUGGGAGACUGCCGGGGUCAACUCGGAGGAAGGUGGGGACGACGUCAAAUCAUCAUGCCCCUUAUGUCUUGGGCUUCACGCAUGCUACAAUGGCCGGUACAAUGGGUUGCGAUACUGUGAGGUGGAGCUAAUCCCAAAAAGCCGGUCUCAGUUCGGAUUGGGGUCUGCAACUCGACCCCAUGAAGUCGGAGUCGCUAGUAAUCGCAGAUCAGCAACGCUGCGGUGAAUACGUUCCCGGGCCUUGUACACACCGCCCGUCAAGUCACGAAAGUUGGUAACACCCGAAGCCGGUGGCCUAACCC
Molecule: ribosomal RNA, 568 nt
Filed under: Micrococcus sp. m8-9
Lineage: Bacteria; Bacillati; Actinomycetota; Actinomycetes; Micrococcales; Micrococcaceae
Description: bacterial SSU rRNA
Rfam family: Bacterial small subunit ribosomal RNA
Source: RNAcentral